RNAcentral lists this ribosomal RNA (490 nucleotides) under uncultured bacterium. RNAcentral's name for it is "partial 16S ribosomal RNA". It matches the Rfam family "Bacterial small subunit ribosomal RNA", at positions 30 to 523 of the family's 1533-position model. The record is from RNAcentral.
AUUGAACGCUGGCGACAUGCCUUACACAUGCAAGUCGAACGAGGGUAGCAAUACCUUAGUGGCGAACGGGUGAGUAAUAUAUCGGAACGUACCCUAGAGUGGGGGACAACCAGUCGAAAGACUGGCUAAUACCGCAUACGAUCUCUGGAUGAAAGUGGGGGACCGCAAGGCCUCACGCUCCUGGAGCGGCCGAUAUCUGAUUAGCUAGUUGGUAGGGUAAAAGCCUACCAAGGCAUCGAUCAGUAGCUGGUCUGAGAGGACGAUCAGCCACACUGGGACUGAGACACGGCCCAGACUCCUACGGGAGGCAGCAGUGGGGAAUUUUGGACAAUGGGGGAAACCCUGAUCCAGCAAUGCCGCGUGAGUGAAGAAGGCCUCCGGGUUGUAAAGCUCUUUUGUCAGGGAAGAAAAGGCUAUGGCUAAUAUCCAUGGCUGAUGACGGUACCUGAAGAAUAAGCACCGGCUAACUACGUGCCAGCCGCCGCGGUAA